Molecule: long non-coding RNA, 884 nt
Organism: Anguilla anguilla (European eel)
Lineage: Eukaryota; Metazoa; Chordata; Actinopteri; Anguilliformes; Anguillidae
Exons: 4
Source: RefSeq, a predicted model, not a curated record
AUCGCUGUGUAGUGGUCGUCAUUUUUUUUAAAAUGGUAUUGUUCAGAUUAGUUUGUUUACCCUCGUUAAAAUGUGAUCACAUAGGAAAUUCCCGGUGCUCAGCACGUAAAAAAUGCUCUACGAUGGUUUUGGGUGUGUCUGGUACUGCGGUCGCUAUCUAGUGGUCGUCGUUUUUAUUUUUAUUGUAUUAAUAGAUUAUUGGAUAUUAGUCUGCUUGCCCUCGCUCAAAUUACAGCACAUCAGAAAUCCGCUGUGUUCAGCUGAAGUUUUUCUACGCUGGCAGCCAGGCCUAGUUGUGUGUAGGCCUCCAUUUUGUAUGUAGCCACGAGUUUAGCUGGUGUCUACAAUGUUUUGAACUCUGAAAAUCACUUCGCUGGCUGGGAUCAUGCUGUUAUACAGCAGUGUCGAAAUAUCAGCGACUUUUUGUGGGAAAUAGUAGAGCCAUAAUGGCGCCACUUUGGACAAGGAAAAAGUUGGGCAAAAUCUUCGAAGAAGCUGGCUAUUUUACCUGGUUUCUGGAUUGUGAUGGUAUGACACCCAAUUUCCUGAAGAACGGGCUUGUAAAAUUAAUCGGAGAAGACUGGCGGAUACGCAUCAAGCUCCCAACUCCUGAAAUGGCUGUCAGAAUAGACUACAACUCAACAUGGCUGUCCAUGUAGAACUACAUCCCCCACAAGCCUUGUGGCCGCAGGCCCCAGUGGACACCCGUCAUUGCUUGAGCUCACUCCAAACUGAGGCGGUUUCUGUGGCCAACAUUUGGAUUUUUUCUAACCUGAACCUGAGUCACAAGAUUACUCUCUGAGGAGAAGCCCCUCUGCAGCCACCUCUUUCUCUGUCCCACGAAUAGGCAGCGUCGCUGAGGAAGAGGAUGGUCACUGCUUGGA